Molecule: ribosomal RNA, 636 nt
Filed under: uncultured bacterium
Lineage: Bacteria
Description: bacterial SSU rRNA
Rfam family: Bacterial small subunit ribosomal RNA
Source: RNAcentral
CGCGGCCUAUCAGCUUGUUGGUGAGGUAACGGCUCACCAAGGCUACGACGGCUAGGGGGCGUGAGAGCGUGGCCCCCGUCACCGGAACUGAGACACUGUCCGGACACCUACGGGUGGCUGCAGUCGAGAAUCUUCGGCAAUGGGGGAAACCCUGACCGAGCGACGCCGCGUGGAGGAAGAGGGCCUUCGGGUUGUAAACUCCUGUUGGGGGGAAGGAAAUUUGACCGAACCCCUGAGGAAGGGUGGGCUAAGUUCGUGCCAGCAGCCGCGGUAAGACGAACCGCUCGAGCGUUAUUCAGAAUCAUUGGGCUUAAAGAGCACGUAGGCGGUCCUGUAAGUUGGAGGUGAGAGACCAUCGGCUCAACCGUGGAAUUGCCCCCAAAACUGCAGGACUAGAGAGAGUAAGGGGUAUGUGGAACUUCCAGUGGAGCGGUGAAAUGUGUUGAUAUUGGAAGGAACGCCAGUGGCGAAAGCGACAUACUGGGCCUCUUCUGACGCUGAGGUGCGAAAGCUAGGGUAGCGAACGGGAUUAGAUACCCCGGUAGUCCUAGCCAUAAACGUUGGGUACUAGGUAGAUAGCCUCCUCAGGCCAUCUGCCGGAGCGAAAGUGUUAAGUACCCCGCCUGGGGAGUACGG